Molecule: regulatory RNA element, 86 nt
Organism: Paenibacillus sp. MY03
Lineage: Bacteria; Bacillati; Bacillota; Bacilli; Caryophanales; Paenibacillaceae
Rfam family: pemK RNA
Source: Rfam
AUUAUGAUACUUCCGUCCAGCCACAGUUUAUCGCAAUGGGGGCGGCCUGCAGUGAUCCUGGAGGAAGCGCAAGCAUGCGCUUAUGA